AUCAUAACUUCAUAUUGAUUUAACUGGUAAAUGCCAGUUUCUUUUUUUCUCUAAAACAAUUUAACAGGAGAAAAGGGUGCGUUGAGUGUUCUUAUUUCUCUUUUAUAUAACCUUCGUUUUGAUGUUUAUUGAAAUAUUGCUAACUUGCUUUUAGCUUUGAUCUAUUUUAAAUUUUACUUACGGGACUAUUACUGGAAAAGAACAUUAUUGCUUAAUAUAUUACAGAGUUGCGUUACAUGAAAUUUUCUAAUGGAUGAAUCCGUGUGAACUAGAUCUUCUACCACACAAUCUUAUAAGCAGAAAUUUUCCAUAAUGUACAUUUCUUUUUCUACCACUAUACACAUUUUAAUGGCAAAAACAUCAAGAAUGACCCUGAAAAACAGGACUAGCAUGGAAUUAAUUUCAUAGAUUUCAGUUGAUAUUAAAUUAGAUAUGUCUGAAUCUGAUAAAUGUAAUGAAAAGACAACAUCGCACUAUGGCCACUUUUUCUUGUGCGAUAUACACCUUUAUUCAUAUUUAUUCCCACUAGCACAUAAUUGUGCAAAUAAAUUUGGAACACGAAUAAAAACCAGUGAGUAGAGAAGGAAAAGAAAGAAACCUACUCGUGUUUUGUUAUGUACACACAGAAUCAAUGAAAAACUAUAGUAAAGCUGUACAUCAACUAGCACAAACCACCUUCGUUCAUCUUUGGUUCAAUCAAAUCAUGUAUCCCAGUUUCCGGUUUAACAUUGGAUCUUGAACGCUGCGAGCUGAGUGUCAGUAAUUGUUGUAAUGUAAAGAGACCCCAUAAGUAGUCAACAAACUCACAGAAACUAAGGACUUGUACAAUCCCUUUCUUGUGGAGCUGGCGAAGCAAGUCAUUGAGCCACUUAUAAGCUCCCCUAUCUAUCACAAUUAUCCCCUAUCUGUCACAGUUUCGUCAUGUAUAUAUAGUUUCUUUAGAUACCGAAACUGGGAGAUGGCAGCACAGGACUGUGAGGAGAGGUUGAUUGAGAGAGAACCGGUUGUUGGCGGGGAAGAGACGGCGAUUGCAAGAUUGGAGACGAAGCAAUUUUAUUUUCCUUGCGAAAUGAUCUCAAGUUUUUAGAAUUAAUAUGAAUAUUAGACAUUGCCAUACUUUGUUGGACAGUACUCCAUGAACUUGUGUCUUUUGAAGUUGUGAACUCUACGCUUGUUAACAAGAAUGACCACGCCUCGCAUGUAUUUUUAUACCGCAAUAAAAUACACUUUCUAAAGAAAAACACGAGAGAAACGAUGUAAACGAACACAACUGACCGAUUCAUAAAAGAGUUGUUCAUGUCCUAAGACAAAAAAAAAAAAGAUGAAGCAUAUUUGUAACCGCAAACGGGAAGCAAGGAGACACAUAACCGAC
Brassica rapa (field mustard) is the source of this 1372-nucleotide long non-coding RNA. RefSeq lists it as uncharacterized. The record is from RefSeq and is a predicted model, not a curated record. Lineage: Eukaryota; Viridiplantae; Streptophyta; Magnoliopsida; Brassicales; Brassicaceae.